This 223-nucleotide long non-coding RNA is filed under the name Bos taurus (domestic cattle). RNAcentral's name for it is "long non-coding RNA NONBTAT002740". The record is from RNAcentral. Lineage: Eukaryota; Metazoa; Chordata; Mammalia; Artiodactyla; Bovidae.
AAGCUCUAAGAGAAAUUUAGAGAAUCAUUAUUCACUAUUUCCCCAUUAUUUUCUCUUAAACAGUAUAUGAGCUAUGAAGGGUUUGUCUGGAAGUAGAUGUUCCUUAUAGUUCUUUUAGACAGAAUAACCAAAGCACAUAUAUGAAAGUUACUGUCAGAGUGGUGUGAGAGGAUAAAGAAGUAUUUAUGUUCUUCCCUUUUUUCCUAUUUUCAUUCCUGUGCUU